GGAAUAUAAGAACCUGUCUCUUAACUUUUAACUAAAAAACUAAGAACUUUCUCUUAAAACUCUUAUUUAAGAGCCGGUUUUUAACUUUUUUAGUUAAAAGUUAAGAGACAGGUUCUUAUAUUCC
Brassica napus (rape) is the source of this 124-nucleotide non-coding RNA. NCBI's taxonomy places the organism in Eukaryota, Viridiplantae, Streptophyta, Magnoliopsida, Brassicales, Brassicaceae. The record is from Rfam.